AAGACUCGAACCACUUUUGGUCCUUGAGAGACGACCUAGGGGUCAUUCCCUAGCUAUACUGCAUUUCUCAUAUGCAAUCAAAUUUGUAUGGGCCGCGACACCCAUCAGCGAGCAGUGGUGACGAGGUGCAACGGAGGAGGGGCGACCAUGGCAACGGAGGUGUGACGAAUGUGGCGGUGGAGACGCGGCGAGGGAGGCGUGAGCAGUGGUGGAGACUGAGUAUUAGUGGUAGAGAGCAAAGUGAAGAGAGGGAGAAGUAGGUUUGCGAGAGGGAGAAGUGAAAACUUUUGGCGUAAACGAAAGCUGCUGGAAGAAAAUAAGGCCUAUUACCUCAGUUAAUAAGAAAUCUGAGGUUGUAACAGCCUAUAGGACUCGGUUAAACACACACCCGAUGCCUAUUUGCUUCAACAAAUGCACUAUAUGAUUCAGUUGGCCUUGAAACCGGUGUCCUAUACUCUUUGUGCAUAGGUUUUUUUUUACCCGAAGCCUAUAACUUGUUCUUAAUAACCAAAUUGCCACCGCGUCUUUAAAUGCUUCGGUUUCACAGAAACCGAAGCCUAUACGGUGAGUUAAGAACAUGUUUUUUUACUAGUGCUCUAUCCCCUUUAGUGGAGUCUCGGUUCUCUUUCGUUGAGCUCUCUAAAACCCUAAUUUUCCCUCAUUUGAACUAUCGUUGUGCGUCCUUUGUACUGGUUAAUUGGUAAAUAAUGUUUAAUUCUUAUUGAGCUAAAUUUUUUAAUUGCAAAACCCUAAUCCUUUUUUUUUUCUACUAGGCAUAAAAUUGCAAUUCUCCAUCCUCAAUCUCUUCUCCACCCUCUCUCUCUUCUCUUAAGCCUCAAUUUCUCUCAUCCAUUCUCGAUUUAUGCAAUUACUCGCAGGAUAAGGUUUUGUUUCUUCCCCGUAAAGCUAUUUUGCACGACUUUCUUUUUUCUACAUGCAUUUCUUCUUGUUAAUUGUUACAAAAGAAGAAAGAAUGAAAUAUUGUAUUUCUUAUUGAAUGAUAAGGAAAGAGUACAAUUGAUAUAUAUAAUUGUUCAGAGCAAUAUAAAAAAGGAAUAUAAGUAUAAAAAUAUAUGAACAUAAAUGCACAGAUAUGAACAGAGAAUAAAAUGAUUCCAAUAUCCCCC
This 1127-nucleotide long non-coding RNA is filed under the name Vigna radiata. RNAcentral describes it as "long non-coding RNA (VRAD_LNC014096)". The record is from RNAcentral. Lineage: Eukaryota; Viridiplantae; Streptophyta; Magnoliopsida; Fabales; Fabaceae.